CUCUCGGGGUGCUAUACUAUUAAAGUUUAGCUGAGAAUAGUAAAUGCUUACUUAACCCGUUGAACUUGAACUGGAUAAUACCAGCGUAGGGAAGAGUAAUACUUU
This 105-nucleotide non-coding RNA is filed under the name uncultured Poseidonibacter sp. RNAcentral describes it as "TPP riboswitch (THI element)". It matches the Rfam family "TPP riboswitch aptamer (THI element)", at positions 7 to 92 of the family's 105-position model. From Rfam's summary of the family: Vitamin B(1) in its active form thiamin pyrophosphate (TPP) is an essential coenzyme that is synthesised by coupling of pyrimidine and thiazole moieties in bacteria. The previously detected thiamin-regulatory element, thi box was extended, resulting in a new, highly conserved RNA secondary structure, the THI element, which is widely distributed in eubacteria and also occurs in some archaea. Analysis of operon structures identified a large number of new candidate thiamin-regulated genes, mostly transporters, in various prokaryotic organisms. Lineage: Bacteria; Pseudomonadati; Campylobacterota; Epsilonproteobacteria; Campylobacterales; Arcobacteraceae. The record is from RNAcentral.